AUUGAACGCUGGCGGCAGGCCUAACACAUGCAAGUCGAGCGCGAGGCGGACGGGUGAGUAAUGUCUGGGAAACUGCCUGAUGGAGGGGGAUAACUACUGGAAACGGUAGCUAAUACCGCAUACCCUCAGAUGUGCCCAGAUGGGAUUUGCUAGUAGGUGGGGUAACGGCUCACCUAGGCGACGAUCCCUAGCUGGUCUGAGAGGAUGACCAGCCACACUGGAACUGAGACACGGUCCAGACGCCUACGGGAGGCAGCAGUGGGGAAUAUUGCACAAUGGGCGCAAGCCUUAUGCAGCCAUGCCGCGUGUGUGAAGAAGGCCUUCGGGUUGUAAAGCACUUUCAGCGGGGAGGCAUUACCCGCAGAAGAAGCACCGGCUAACUCCGUGCCAGCAGCCGCGGUAAUUC
Molecule: ribosomal RNA, 406 nt
Filed under: uncultured bacterium
Lineage: Bacteria
Description: partial 16S ribosomal RNA
Rfam family: Bacterial small subunit ribosomal RNA
Source: RNAcentral